RNAcentral lists this ribosomal RNA (253 nucleotides) under uncultured bacterium. Its description in RNAcentral is "partial 16S ribosomal RNA". It matches the Rfam family "Bacterial small subunit ribosomal RNA", at positions 524 to 776 of the family's 1533-position model. The record is from RNAcentral.
UACAGAGGGUGCGAGCGUUGUUCGGAAUUAUUGGGCGUAAAGCGCUUGUAGGCGGCUUGUUAAGUUCCGUGUGAAAUCCCCAGGCUUAACCUGGGAAGUGCGCGGAAAACUGGCGAGCUUGAGUGCCGGAGAGGGUCGCGGAAUUCCCGGUGUAGAGGUGAAAUUCGUAGAUAUCUGGAGGAACACCGGUGGCGAAGGCGGCAUCCUGGACCGGCAUUGACGCUGAGGAGCGAAAGCCAGGGGAGCAAACGGG